This 460-nucleotide ribosomal RNA is filed under the name uncultured bacterium. RNAcentral's name for it is "partial 16S ribosomal RNA". It matches the Rfam family "Bacterial small subunit ribosomal RNA", at positions 338 to 795 of the family's 1533-position model. The record is from RNAcentral.
CCUACGGGUGGCAGCAGUGAGGAAUAUUGGUCAAUGGGAGGAAUCCUGAACCAGCCAUGCCGCGUGCAGGACGACGGCUCUACGAGUUGUAAACUGCUUUUGUACCGGGGUAAAAUGCUCUACGCGUACCGUUUUGAAUGUACGUUACGAAUAAGGAUCGGCUAACUCCGUGCCAGCAGCCGCGGUAAUACGGAGGAUCCGAGCGUUAUCCGGAUUUAUUGGGUUUAAAGGGUGCGUAGGUUGUUUGAUAAGUUAGCGGUGAAAGUCCGAGGCUCAACAUCGGGGCUGCCGUUGAUACUGUAAGACUAGAGUGCGGAUGCAGCAGGCGGAAUGCGUGGUGUAGCGGUGAAAUGCAUAGAUAUCACGCAGAACACCGAUUGCGAAGGCAGCUUGCUAGGCCGGAACUGACACUGAUGCACGAAAGCGUGGGGAUCGAACAGGAUUAGAUACCCCAGUAGUC